This 297-nucleotide long non-coding RNA is filed under the name Sarcophilus harrisii (Tasmanian devil). RNAcentral's name for it is "lncRNA (ENSSHAG00000023035.1)". The record is from RNAcentral. Lineage: Eukaryota; Metazoa; Chordata; Mammalia; Dasyuromorphia; Dasyuridae.
CUGCCUUUAUUUUCUCUCCUCCCUGACAUGAUGUCAACUCCCUAAGAUUCAAGACCUGGAAGCUGAAGUCUUAAAAAUGAAAAUCUCACAUCAAGAGACUAAAGCAAAACUAGAGAGAUGCAAAAAGGAUUAUUCUCAAGAAUAUAGAUUUACUACAAGUCCCUUUGUGGCGCCACUUCAUGACUAUGACUAUGAUAAUUAUUUGGGCCUUUCAGAAGGAAAUUCAAAAUAUUUUAUUGGAGAAAGAGACUUCAAUAAACGGCAGAGAAGUCUGCUUUGCAAAGGUAGUCAUUUAGA